Molecule: signal recognition particle RNA, 291 nt
Filed under: Microcebus murinus (gray mouse lemur)
Lineage: Eukaryota; Metazoa; Chordata; Mammalia; Primates; Cheirogaleidae
Description: Metazoan signal recognition particle RNA (ENSMICG00000028689.2)
Rfam family: Metazoan signal recognition particle RNA
About the family: The signal recognition particle (SRP) is a universally conserved ribonucleoprotein. It is involved in the co-translational targeting of proteins to membranes.
Source: RNAcentral
GCCUGCUGCUGUAGUAUGAUCCCGUUGUCCCAGCGACUCAGGAGGCUGAGGUAGGAGGCUCACUUGAGCCCAGUUCUGGGUUGUAGUUUCCAAUGCCGACUGAGUGCCCACACUAAGUUCAGCGUCAAUAUGGUGACUUCCCAAGAGCUGGGGGACCACUAGGUUGCCCCAGGAGGGGGAACCAGCCAGAUUGGGAAUGGAGCAGGUCAAAACUCCCUUAAUGAUCAAUAGUGGAAUCGCUCAUGUGAGCCACUGCCCUCCAGCCUAGGCAAUAUUGCAAGCUCUGUCUCU